GUGGUAGUAGCUCAGCUGGUUAGAGCAUCGGAUUGUGGUUCCGAGGGUCACCGGUUCGAAUCCGGUUUACCACCCCA
This 77-nucleotide transfer RNA is filed under the name Opitutales bacterium. RNAcentral describes it as "tRNA-His". It matches the Rfam family "tRNA". Rfam says of the family: Transfer RNA (tRNA) molecules are approximately 80 nucleotides in length. Their secondary structure includes four short double-helical elements and three loops (D, anti-codon, and T loops). The record is from RNAcentral. RNAcentral also lists the same sequence under 2 other names. Lineage: Bacteria; Pseudomonadati; Verrucomicrobiota; Opitutia; Opitutales.